This 1007-nucleotide ribosomal RNA is filed under the name Staphylococcus aureus. RNAcentral's name for it is "partial 23S ribosomal RNA". It matches the Rfam family "Bacterial large subunit ribosomal RNA", at positions 328 to 1343 of the family's 2925-position model. The record is from RNAcentral. Lineage: Bacteria; Bacillati; Bacillota; Bacilli; Caryophanales; Staphylococcaceae.
AUUAGACGAAUCAUCUGGAAAGAUGAAUCAAAGAAGGUAAUAAUCCUGUAGUCGAAAAUGUUGUCUCUCUUGAGUGGAUCCUGAGUACGACGGAGCACGUGAAAUUCCGUCGGAAUCUGGGAGGACCAUCUCCUAAGGCUAAAUACUCUCUAGUGACCGAUAGUGAACCAGUACCGUGAGGGAAAGGUGAAAAGCACCCCGGAAGGGGAGUGAAAUAGAACCUGAAACCGUGUGCUUACAAGUAGUCAGAGCCCGUUAAUGGGUGAUGGCGUGCCUUUUGUAGAAUGAACCGGCGAGUUACGAUUUGAUGCAAGGUUAAGCAGUAAAUGUGGAGCCGUAGCGAAAGCGAGUCUGAAUAGGGCGUUUAGUAUUUGGUCGUAGACCCGAAACCAGGUGAUCUACCCUUGGUCAGGUUGAAGUUCAGGUAACACUGAAUGGAGGACCGAACCGACUUACGUUGAAAAGUGAGCGGAUGAACUGAGGGUAGCGGAGAAAUUCCAAUCGAACCUGGAGAUAGCUGGUUCUCUCCGAAAUAGCUUUAGGGCUAGCCUCAAGUGAUGAUUAUUGGAGGUAGAGCACUGUUUGGACGAGGGGCCCCUCUCGGGUUACCGAAUUCAGACAAACUCCGAAUGCCAAUUAAUUUAACUUGGGAGUCAGAACAUGGGUGAUAAGGUCCGUGUUCGAAAGGGAAACAGCCCAGACCACCAGCUAAGGUCCCAAAAUAUAUGUUAAGUGGAAAAGGAUGUGGCGUUGCCCAGACAACUAGGAUGUUGGCUUAGAAGCAGCCAUCAUUUAAAGAGUGCGUAAUAGCUCACUAGUCGAGUGACACUGCGCCGAAAAUGUACCGGGGCUAAACAUAUUACCGAAGCUGUGGAUUGUCCUUUGGACAAUGGUAGGAGAGCGUUCUAAGGGCGUUGAAGCAUGAUCGUAAGGACAUGUGGAGCGCUUAGAAGUGAGAAUGCCGGUGUGAGUAGCGAAAGACGGGUGAGAAUCCCGUCCACCGAUUG